RNAcentral lists this ribosomal RNA (435 nucleotides) under uncultured bacterium. RNAcentral describes it as "partial 16S ribosomal RNA". It matches the Rfam family "Bacterial small subunit ribosomal RNA", at positions 29 to 507 of the family's 1533-position model. The record is from RNAcentral.
AGCGAACGCUGGCGGCAGGCUUAACACAUGCCAGUCGAACGGGCAUCUUCGGAUGUCAGUGGCAGACGGGCGAGUAACACGUGGGAACGUACCCUUCGGUUCGGAAUAACUCAGGGAAACUUGAGCUAAUACCGGAUACGCCCUUUUGGGGAAAGGUUUACUGCCGAAGGAUCGGCCCGCGUCUGAUUAGCUUGUUGGUGGGGUAACGGCCUACCAAGGCGACGAUCAGUAGCUGGUCUGAGAGGAUGAUCAGCCACACUGGGACUGAGACACGGCCCAGACUCCUACGGGAGGCAGCAGUGGGGAAUAUUGGACAAUGGGCGCAAGCCUGAUCCAGCCAUGCCGCGUGAGUGAUGAAGGCCUUAGGGUUGUAAAGCUCUUUUGUCCGGGACGAUAAUGACGGUACCGGAAGAAUAAGCCCCGGCUAACUUCGUG